This 864-nucleotide ribosomal RNA is filed under the name viral metagenome. Its description in RNAcentral is "bacterial SSU rRNA". It matches the Rfam family "Bacterial small subunit ribosomal RNA", at positions 77 to 972 of the family's 1533-position model. The record is from RNAcentral.
CGGGUCUGAGAGGAUGAUCCGCCACACUGGGACUGAGACACGGCCCAGUGUGGGGGACAACAUCUCGAAAGGGAUGCUAAUACCGCAUACGUCCUACGGGAGAAAGCAGGGGACCUUCGGGCCUUGCGCUAAUAGAUGAGCCUAAGUCGGAUUAGCUAGUUGGUGGGGUAAAGGCCUACCAAGGCGACGAUCUGUAGCGGGUCUGAGAGGAUGAUCCGCCACACUGGGACUGAGACACGGCCCAGACUCCUACGGGAGGCAGCAGUGGGGAAUAUUGCGCAAUGGGGGGAACCCUGACGCAGCGACGCCGCGUGCGGGAUGGAGGCCUUCGGGUUGUGAACCGCUUUUGGUAAGGAGCAAGCGAGAGUGAGUGUACUUAUCGAAUAAGGACCGGCUAACUACGUGCCAGCAGCCGCGGUAAUACGUAGGGUCCAAGCGCUGUCCGGAAUUAUUGGGCGUAAAGGGCUCGUAGGCGGCCUGUCGCGUCUGGUGUGAAAGCCCGUGGCUUAACUGCGGGUCUGCGCUGGAUACGGGCGGGCUAGAGUGCGGUAGGGGAGAAUGGAAUUCCCGGUGUAACGGCGGAAUGUGUAGAUAUCGGGAAGAACACCAAUGGCGAAGGCAGUUCUCUGGGCCGUGACUGACGCUGAGGAGCGAAAGCGUGGGGAGCGAACAGGAUUAGAUACCCUGGUAGUCCACGCUGUAAACGGUGGACGCUGGAUGUGGGGCCCAUUCCACGGGUUCCGUGUCGGAGCUAACGCGUUAAGCGUCCCGCCUGGGGAGUACGGCCGCAAGGCUAAAACUCAAAGAAAUUGACGGGGGGCCCGCACAAGCGUCGCCGUGACUGACGCUGAGGAGCGAAAGCGU